This 402-nucleotide ribosomal RNA is filed under the name uncultured Devosia sp. RNAcentral describes it as "bacterial SSU rRNA". It matches the Rfam family "Bacterial small subunit ribosomal RNA", at positions 355 to 774 of the family's 1533-position model. Lineage: Bacteria; Pseudomonadati; Pseudomonadota; Alphaproteobacteria; Hyphomicrobiales; Devosiaceae. The record is from RNAcentral.
UGGGGAAUAUUGGACAAUGGGCGCAAGCCUGAUCCAGCCAUGCCGCGUGAGUGAUGAAGGCCUUAGGGUUGUAAAGCUCUUUCAGUGGGGAAGAUAAUGACGGUACCCACAGAAGAAGCCCCGGCUAACUUCGUGCCAGCAGCCGCGGUAAUACGAAGGGGGCUAGCGUUGUUCGGAUUUACUGGGCGUAAAGCGCACGUAGGCGGAUUGGUCAGUUAGAGGUGAAAUCCCGAAGCUCAACUUCGGAACUGCCUUUAAUACUGCCAAUCUAGAGUCCGGAAGAGGUGAGUGGAACUCCUAGUGUAGAGGUGGAAUUCGUAGAUAUUAGGAAGAACACCAGUGGCGAAGGCGGCUCACUGGUCCGGUACUGACGCUGAGGUGCGAAAGCGUGGGGAGCAAACA